RNA transcript from Prionailurus viverrinus (fishing cat), 2246 nucleotides. It is a transcript of the gene named methylthioribose-1-phosphate isomerase 1, with no coding region annotated. The transcript is spliced from 7 exons. NCBI's taxonomy places the organism in Eukaryota, Metazoa, Chordata, Mammalia, Carnivora, Felidae. The record is from RefSeq and is a predicted model, not a curated record.
GGGUUUCAGUGUGGUAGCUCAGGUUGGCCUGCAAUCAGAGCGGACUUCCCAGGGGAGGCAGUACAGUCUCAGUGCGAAAGGUGGAGGGGGGACCGGGCAGCAGGAACCGCACAGUUAGGACUGGGAACAUAGGAGGUGCCUGAAGCAGUCAAACCCGGAGCAUGCAAGUGUGGGGUUUUUGUUCUCCCCAGCCUGUAGGGGUGCCUUGGAAAGGGGGCGAAAAGGCCCUCUCCCCUACCCCCUUCCCUGCCAUGGUGCAUCUUUUGGAGGGAACCGGUAAACUGAACAGGAAAUAGCUCAGAAACAGCAGGGCACCGACCCAGAAACCCAAACGGCCACCUCCCCUUAAACCGGGGAAAAGGAAGAGCAUUUAACAAAUGUGGGGGGUUGUAGCCCCAGGGGAUACGGCAGUGACCCAGCCACACAGUGCGCUUGGUGCUGAGGUUCUGGCCAGAUUCAUAUUUCGCCUGAUGGGGCAUGGUGGCCCCAGGGGGCUGUCCCCAGCCCACCAGCCUUUGCUCCCUGCAGAGAAGGGAAGGUUUCAGGGCAACAGUAAGAGCUCCUUAGUCUCUGAAAUACCCAGUGCGGGCCUUUAUUUGAGACCACCUUCAGCAUUCUCUGUGGCUGAAGAAAUCAGGCACCUAAGGGUGCCCACCCGGGAUUUGGGGGACCUUGCUGCGAGCCCUUAACUCCGGUCAGCCGAACCGUAAACAACGUGGCCCCAGAAACGGUGCGCUCUGGUUUCCAGAAGGCGGCUAACUGCCCAAAGUCGGCCCUGGGGGUAGGGCGGGCUCGGCCUCCUGGACUGCCGGUCUUGCGGGGUUGCUGUGCGCACGCGCCUCCUUCCGAAAGGGCGGGGCGGGUCCUGCCCACUCCUUGCGUCCUAUCCCCGCGCGUGCGCAGGGAGGGCCCCCCCACCCCCACCCCCGUCCUUCCAGAGCGGCGUGAGCGAGGCGGCGGUACCAUGGCCUUGGAGGCGAUCCGCUACUCCCGGGGCUCGCUGGAGAUCCUCGACCAGCUGCUGCUGCCCCAGCACAGCCGCUACGAGGCAGUGGGCUCGGUGCGCCAGGCCUGGGAGGCUAUCCGCGCCAUGAAGGUGCGCGGCGCCCCGGCCAUCGCGCUCGUGGGCUGUCUCAGCCUCGCCGUGGAGCUGCAGGCGGGUGCGGGGGGACCGGGCCUCGCCGCACUGGUGGCUUUCGUGCGCGACGCGCUGAGCUUCCUGGUCACCGCUCGGCCCACCGCGGUCAACCUGGCCCGCGCGUCCAGCCAGCUGGCCGACGCCGCAGCCUUGGAGGCCGAGCGCGAGGGCGCCACGGAAGAGACGGUCCGGGAGAGAGUGAUCUGCUGUGCCGAGGACAUGUUGGAGAAAGACCUCAGAGACAAUCGGAGCAUCGGGGACCUAGGAGCCCGCCACCUCCUGGAGCAGGUGGCUCCUGGGGGCGGCAAGGUGACCGUGUUGACCCACUGCAACACUGGUGCCCUGGCCACUGCUGGCUAUGGCACAGCCCUGGGGGUGAUCCGCUCGCUGCACACCCUGGGCCGUCUGGACCACGCCUUCUGCACGGAGACCCGGCCCUACAACCAGGGAGCCCGGCUGACUGCCUUCGAGCUGGUCUACGAGCAGAUCCCCGCCACGCUCAUCGCCGACAGCGCGGCAGCAGCCGCCAUGGCCCACAGAGGGGUGUCAGCCGUCAUCGUAGGAGCCGACCGCGUGGUUGCCAACGGUGACACAGCCAACAAGGUGGGCACCUACCAGCUGGCCAUCGCUGCCAAGCACCACGGCAUCCCCUUCUACGUGGCUGCCCCCAGCUCCUCGUGUGACCUCCAUCUGGAGACAGGCAGGGACAUCGUCAUCGAGGAGCGCCCAGGGCGGGAGCUGACCGACGUCAACGGGGUCAGGAUUGCAGCCCCCGGGAUUGGGGUUUGGAAUCCUGCCUUCGAUGUCACCCCCCACAACCUCAUCACCGGCGGCAUCAUCACAGAACUGGGGGUCUUUGCUCCUGAGGAGCUCCGGGCAGCCCUAAGCACCACCGUCUCCUGAGGGCGGGUACCCCAGCUGGACCCCAGAAGUAACCAAGCUGACUCUCCAUAUCCUGCCCCCAUUCCCUUAGGUUUUGCGAAGCCCUCCGUAUCGUCUACGUCUGUGGGCGUCUGUCUCUUUAAUGCCUUGCCCCGUUGUGUCCCGUGAGUCUUUGCGCGCGCCCCGCCGGCCCCACUGUAUCCCGUCGUGCUCUGCGUCUUCCGGC